UUGCCCUAGUAACGGCGAGUGAAGCGGCAACAGCUCAAAUUUGAAAUCUGGCGCAAGCCCGAGUUGUAAUUUGUAGAGGAUGCUUCUGGGCAGCGGCCGGUCUAAGUUCCUUGGAACAGGACGUCACAGAGGGUGAGAAUCCCGUAUGUGAUCGGUUGGCACCCGCUACGUAGCUCCUUCGACGAGUCGAGUUGUUUGGGAAUGCAGCUCUAAAUGGGAGGUAAAUGCCUUCUAAAGCUAAAUACCGGCCAGAGACCGAUAGCGCACAAGUAGAGUGAUCGAAAGAUGAAAAGCACUUUGGAAAGAGAGUUAAAAAGCACGUGAAAUUGUUGAAAGGGAAGCGCAUGCAACCAGACUUGUCGGCGGUGUUCCGCCGGUCUUUUGACCGGUCUACUCGCCGUCGGCAGGCCAGCAUCAUCUGGGUGCGCCGGAUAAAGGCCUUGGGAAUGUAGCUCCUCGGAGUGUUAUAGCCCUCGGUGCAAUACGGUGUCGCCCGGGUGAGGUCCGCGCUUCGGCUAGGAUGCUGGCGUAAUGGUUGUCUGCGGCCCGUCUUGAAACACGGACCAAGGAGUCUAACAUCUAUGCGAGUGUUCGGGUGUCAAACCCCUACGCGCAAUGAAAGUGAACGGAGGUGGGAACUUCGGUGCACCAUCGACCGAUCCUGAUGUCCUCGGAUGGAUUUGAGUAAGAGCAUAGCUGUUGGGACCCGAAAGAUGGUGAACUAUGCCUGAAUAGGGUGAAGCCAGAGGAAACUCUGGUGGAGGCUCGCAGCGGUUCUGACGUGCAAAUCGAUCGUCAAAUUUGGGUAUA
Molecule: ribosomal RNA, 810 nt
Filed under: Xenopenidiella formica
Lineage: Eukaryota; Fungi; Ascomycota; Dothideomycetes; Mycosphaerellales; Teratosphaeriaceae
Description: partial 28S ribosomal RNA
Rfam family: Eukaryotic large subunit ribosomal RNA
Source: RNAcentral